RNAcentral lists this ribosomal RNA (466 nucleotides) under uncultured bacterium. Its description in RNAcentral is "bacterial SSU rRNA". It matches the Rfam family "Bacterial small subunit ribosomal RNA", at positions 338 to 795 of the family's 1533-position model. The record is from RNAcentral.
CCUANGGGAGGCAGCAGUGAGGAAUUUUGCGCAAUGGGGGAAACCCUGACGCAGCAACGCCGCGUGAGUGAAGAAGGCUUUCGGGUCGUAAAGCUCUGUCAAGAGGGAAGAAAGUGGGAGAUGGUAAUACUGUUUUCUAUUGACGGUACCUCUGAAGGAAGCACCGGCUAACUCCGUGCCAGCAGCCGCGGUAAUACGGGGGGUGCAAGCGUUAUUCGGAUUUAUUGGGCGUAAAGAGCGCGUAGGCGGUUUAUCAAGUCAGAUGUGAAAGCCCUGGGCUCAACCUGGGAAGUGCAUUUGAAACUAGUAGACUUGAGUAUGGGAGAGGGGAGUGGAAUUCCUGGUGUAGAGGUGAAAUUCGUAGAUAUCAGGAGGAACACCGGUGGCGAAGGCGACUUCCUGGACCAAUACUGACGCUGAGGCGCGAAGGCGUGGGGAGCAAACAGGAUUAGAUACCCUUNUANUC